CAUGGAGGGGGGUUGGAAUGAGAUGAUCUUCAAGGUCCCUCCCAACCCAAACCAUUCUGUGAUUCCAUGACUCCUGUGACCACACCAAAGGCAGUGAGAACUGUUCCCUCCCCACAUCCUGUGGCUGCGUUUGUGCCUCUGGCAGCCAGACUCCUCGGGAUGUCCCAGCCUGGAGCAGGCAGCAGCAGGACCAGCAGCAGCUCUGCCUUGGCCCAGGGCUGGUUGUGCCCCUGAAGGGGCACCAGGACAUUCACUUGGCUACGGAUGCACGGGCACAUCCCCCAGGCUGUCUGACCCCAGUCAGCUCCUGCAAGGACUGAGAAACGGGUUUAUUUGCUGGCAAACAGAUGUUACCCUCUGGGAAGCAGAGGAGCCCGUGAAGGCUCCCCUGAGAAAAGGAAAGUGACUGACUCAGACUUUCAGGGAGAGGAGGGUUACACUGCCAGACAGAAGAGGAAAUUGGUGCGCUAAAAAAAAAAACUGGUUUAAUUACAUCAGGUGCUAUUUUUAGUAACACAAAAAUAGGAGAACAGACA
Long non-coding RNA from Pseudopipra pipra, 536 nucleotides. RefSeq lists it as uncharacterized. The transcript has 2 exons. The record is from RefSeq and is a predicted model, not a curated record. NCBI's taxonomy places the organism in Eukaryota, Metazoa, Chordata, Aves, Passeriformes, Pipridae.